GCGACCCCAGGUCAGGCGGGACUA
Molecule: non-coding RNA, 24 nt
Filed under: Avena longiglumis
Lineage: Eukaryota; Viridiplantae; Streptophyta; Magnoliopsida; Poales; Poaceae
Also listed under: 151 other names
Source: RNAcentral